Molecule: long non-coding RNA, 520 nt
Filed under: Homo sapiens (human)
Lineage: Eukaryota; Metazoa; Chordata; Mammalia; Primates; Hominidae
Description: non-protein coding lnc-GLRX-5:1
Source: RNAcentral
CAGCCGCGGCCGCAGUGGAGGCUAGAGCCGGAGCGGCGGCGGCGGCGGCACCCCGGGGAGUUUAAGAUGGCGGCGGGGGGGACAGGGGGCCUGCGGGAGGAGCAGCGCUAUGGGCUGUCGUGCGGACGGCUGGGGCAGGACAACAUCACCGUACUGCAUGUGAAGCUCACCGAGACGGCGAUCCGGGCGCUCGAGACUUACCAGAGCCACAAGAAUUUAAUUCCUUUUCGACCUUCAAUCCAGUUCCAAGGACUCCACGGGGGAAAAGAGUGCAAAUUCGGAAAGCACCUCAAGCUGUUUCAGAUACAGUUCCUGAGAGGAAAAGGUCAACCCCCAUGAACCCUGCAAAUACAAUUCGAAAGACACAUAGCAGCAGCACCAUCUCUCAGAGGCCAUACAGGGACAGGGUGAUUCACUUACUGGCCCUGAAGGCCUACAAGAAACCGGAGCUACUUGCUAGACUCCAGAAAGAUGGUGUCAAUCAAAAAGACAAGAACUCCCUGGGAGCAAUUCUGCAACA